CCUUUCCAACCCUCCCCCAAGAUCCUCCCCAGCAUUGGGGGUGAAGCCUCUGGCCCUUUAAGAGGAGGGGUCCCCACAGUUCAGCCCAGCACAGGCCGUUCUUUUCGGAGGAAGGAUUUUAGGCGUGAUUUUAGGAGCAAUCCCACCUCCCCACCCUCCUCGGGGCGGAAUUUGAGGCCGGCUCACUGUGAGAAUCCAGGUUGUGGAGACCUUGGAGCAGCAUCCCCCAGAGUUCUCCCGAGCUCCUUGACGUGAAGACUCCAAACCCCUCAGAGCACCCCAAACCCCUCACUGCACCCCUGGAUCCCUCAGCAUCCCCUGAGGCCCCUUAGUGACCCUCCAAAACCCCUCAGCCUAAAAUCAACUGCAUAAGAAGCUUCCCUCUCAACUUAGAGCCCUAAUAUAGACCCAUCACCACCGACCUCUGCUCGUUCCCCCCCGAGACCCCCCAAAAGAGGGACCCCCCGCCAUGGAGGAGCUGCUGGAGCUGGGCCCGGGCUCUGAAUUGGGGAGGGGGCUCCGCCUGGCCCGCGACAGCCACGGGGUCUUCGUGGCCGAGGCCCCCAAAUCCCUGCGGCUGCGCCAGGGUGAGGACACCGG
Molecule: long non-coding RNA, 600 nt
Organism: Passer montanus (Eurasian tree sparrow)
Lineage: Eukaryota; Metazoa; Chordata; Aves; Passeriformes; Passeridae
Exons: 4
Source: RefSeq, a predicted model, not a curated record